This is a long non-coding RNA of Neofelis nebulosa (Clouded leopard), 967 nucleotides long. RefSeq lists it as uncharacterized. Lineage: Eukaryota; Metazoa; Chordata; Mammalia; Carnivora; Felidae. The transcript is spliced from 5 exons. The record is from RefSeq and is a predicted model, not a curated record.
AUGAUUACUGCUCUGCCUUUAUGAGACAGCUUCUAGACAGAAAGGAGCAGGAGGACCUCGGUGUACAUCUGCCAGGGCUGGGGAAUCCAGCCCUUGGGCAGGUGAGAGCAAACUCAAGAUAUGUAGACGCAGCUUCAGGCACCCAUGCUGUCCCAGAGGACGUGAAUCCUGGUGGGGAGAUGGUCCCUAUGGAGAUCUUCUGGAUGGGAAGCAAUGAAAGAUAAGCUAUUACCUGCCCACAAGGUUACCUCUCACAUUUAUCUCAAACACAGAGAGAGAGCACAGGCAGAAGAGAAGGGCAGAAGGAAAGAGAGAGAGAAUCUCAACCAGGCUCUAUGCUGUAGGCGGAGCCCAAUGUGGGGCUCAAUCCCACGACACUGCGAUCAUGACCUGAGCCCAAACUGAGUUGGACGCUUAACCGACUGAGUCAUCCAGGUGACCCUGGAGGGCACCAGUAGCUUUGGGUUCCUCUGCCGGCUCAAGAUCCUCUCUCUUUUGCUGCCUGGGUGCGGGGAGGGCUCCACUGAGCCAACUCCCCCCACAAAAGAAGGAAGAACAAUAGGCUUGUUGCCUUUUCUUCCAUAAAAAUGCUCCCUGAGGUUGAGCUGCCCGCAGUGCUUUCCAAAUGCCCCCUAAACAUCCUCCUCUUAGGACACACAGCACACUGGAUCGGGAGAUCCUCAAGACCAGGAACUGGACCCGUAAUAUCUCCGAGAAAGCAUGAUAUCUGGGCUGAAAAUGGCAGAUCCAACAAUUUUAAAAGAGUUUAUGCCCACGAUAUCCUAAGGCAAUGAGAAAUUUAUGUCAAGGAGAUUCGCACAACUGUAACCAUGAUCGGGAAUCUUCAAGGAAUCCUGGAGAAUGAAAGAAAUCCCCCCCCGCCCCCGCCCCGCCAACAGGAAAUUAGCAUAUUUGUUUGCCACUUUCAGAAAUAAAAAUUUUCCUUUGGUGAAUCUAGAAAACGCUA